CAAGAAUUUUUCAUUGUUUUGUAUAUGACAGGAGACUGUGCAAUUGGGGAUGGCGUGAAGAAAUAUUUCUUUUCGCUAUGCCUGAAUAAGCUCCAAACAGGCCUACAUUUACACCUUGACUACACUGGUGGGAAAACAAUUCUGUUCAAUGGAGCGGCAGACCACUUGGUCCCAUCCACCUCCUUGCCAUUGCUCCAGGGGGAUCUGUUCCGCGUGGCAGGGAGAAUAAUUGGACAUUCUUUUUUAAAUCGGGGUCCACUUUUGAGAGGGAUGGGCCAGUGCCUUUUCCCUCUGCUGGCCACUAAGGACAUGGGGGCCAUAGACGCUGCAGUCUUGCAGGUGGAAGAUUGUCCAGAUUUGGACAUUGUGGAGAUUGUCAGCCUUGUAAGUGUAACAAUUCAAUUUGUGCUGCCUCUUUUCAUCUGCCCAUGUGUCAUCUAAUUGUUGACCAGUGUUGUAUACAAUGAUAACUGCUUUCCAACAGCUUGAAAGCCAGACUGUCCUGACCCCCGAAAAUGUGGACCAGGUGAACCACUUGGCCCUCAGCUGGGACCUGCCCAAUCUCACAGAGAACAACAGGAGGUUGUUGGCACAACAAAUCCUCCAUCAUGGGGUAUGAGCCCAAUCAAAUAUAAAAAUAAUAAGAAAGCUAUUUACAUGUACAGUAAAUGUGUUCUUGGAUACAGUAUGCUGCUAAAUAUGGUUUCUGGUGCCAUCUCCUUUCUAAAGGUAAUUGUCAGACGUGAGAGGCAAAUGGCGCAGUUGCGGAAAGGGCUGAAGGACACACGCGUCCUGGUAAUGUUAAAGGAACGGCCUGAACUGACAUCUGCCCUGUUCCCCAGAUCUGCCGAGGCAGAGCUGGAGCCAGAGGUAACCUGUCGUGCCUACAGACCAUGUACAGGGCUUGCAUGGUCGUGUUUUUAUAAUUCAUGUUCUCUUUCAGAUGAUAAUAGAACGGAUUGUGUGGCCAGAACCAGACAGCGAUGAAGAGGAAGAAAUUGAUGAUUACUGCAGUGUGGUUGCUUACUUGCGGCAGUACAUCAGCUUAGGUGAGAAAUAGCUACAGCGCUCUGUCUCACUUAUUCACACACACAGACACACACAAACCUCAAGCAAAAUGUUUUUUUUUGUUGUCUGUUCCUUAGCUUCAUCCUCCGAACUGCAGCAGCUUAUUGAGUUUUGGACGGGGUGGGCGGUACUGCCGGACGAGCUGUACGUCAGUGUUGACCGGGAUGCCACCUACCCGACAGCUUCUACCUGCUUCACCACAUUGAAAAUCCCAACAGGAUGUUGUUCCUACAGGGAUUUUUGUUUUAAAUUGGGGGCAGCCGUGAGCACCACUAAGUUUGGUUUUGGAAGGAUCUAGGUUUUGGGUCUUGGUUUCUAUCAUUUUACCUUGUCUUACUUUUUUAGUUCAUAUUGUUCAUUUUCACAGUUUGCAAUGUUAUAUUAUUAUACACUUUCAUCCAAAUCCUGCACUGCUGGAGCUAAACCGCAGUUUUCUAAGUAUGCCAAAAAGGGCGUUUCAAGC
This 1531-nucleotide long non-coding RNA is filed under the name Gadus morhua (Atlantic cod). RNAcentral describes it as "lncRNA (ENSGMOG00000030773.1)". The record is from RNAcentral. Lineage: Eukaryota; Metazoa; Chordata; Actinopteri; Gadiformes; Gadidae.